This 73-nucleotide transfer RNA is filed under the name Rasbora beauforti. Its description in RNAcentral is "tRNA-Leu". It matches the Rfam family "tRNA". From Rfam's summary of the family: Transfer RNA (tRNA) molecules are approximately 80 nucleotides in length. Their secondary structure includes four short double-helical elements and three loops (D, anti-codon, and T loops). Lineage: Eukaryota; Metazoa; Chordata; Actinopteri; Cypriniformes; Danionidae. The record is from RNAcentral.
ACUUCUAAAGGAUAACAGUACAUCCACUGGUCUUAGGAACCAAAAACUCUUGGUGCAAAUCCAAGUAGAAGUU